RNAcentral lists this ribosomal RNA (440 nucleotides) under uncultured bacterium. RNAcentral's name for it is "partial 16S ribosomal RNA". It matches the Rfam family "Bacterial small subunit ribosomal RNA", at positions 338 to 795 of the family's 1533-position model. The record is from RNAcentral.
CCUACGGGAGGCAGCAGUGGGGAAUAUUGCACAAUGGGGGAAACCCUGAUGCAGCGACGCCGCGUGAGCGAAGAAGUAUUUCGGUAUGUAAAGCUCUAUCAGCAGGGAAGAAAAUGACGGUACCUGAGUAAGAAGCUCCGGCUAAAGACGUGCCAGCAGCCGCGGUAAUACGUAGGGAGCAAGCGUUAUCCGGAUUUACUGGGUGUAAAGGGAGCGCAGGCGGCCUUGCAAGUCUGAUGUGAAAGACCGGGGCUCAACCCCGGAGUUGCAUUGGAAACUGUGAGGCUGGAGUGUCGGUGAGGCAGGCGGAAUUCGUGGUGUAGCGGUGAAAUGCGUAGAUAUUAGGAGGAACCCCAGUUGCGAAGGCGGCCUGCUGGACGAUGACUGACGCUGAGGCUCGAAAGCGUGGGGAGCAAACAGGAUUAGAUACCCGUGUAGUC